Molecule: RNA transcript, 3285 nt
Organism: Acanthochromis polyacanthus (spiny chromis)
Lineage: Eukaryota; Metazoa; Chordata; Actinopteri; Pomacentridae
Gene name: meiotic recombination protein REC8 homolog
Exons: 16
Source: RefSeq, a predicted model, not a curated record
UAGCUCAUUUUAAACAGCUAUUAGCUCAUUUUAAACAGUUAUUAGCUCAUUUUAAACAGUUAUUAGCUCAUUUUAAACAGUUAUUAGCUCAUUUAGAGAGUUGUUAGCUCAUUUUAAACAACUGUUAGCUCAUUUUAAACGGCUAUUAGCUCAUUUAGACGGUUAUUAGCUCAUUUUGGACAAUUUGAUUUAUUUCAGAUAACUCCGUUAAUUUUGAACAGAUUUAAAGUUUCUUUUGCUGAUGUCUGAGGACAUUUUGGACCAUUUGUAACCAUUAUUUGUCAGUUAAAGAGCUUGAGCUGAAUCCACAGCUGAACCUGAAUCAUCCUUAAAAACAGCCUUGACUUCAAGAACAAAUGGACUCGGGGACAGUUUGUUCACCAGAGCCAUCAGCGCUCUGAACAACAAGAAAACAUGAACGCAUUAACACGACUGGGAACACGCUUCAUACGUGUAAUCCUGUGCAAUAUUCAUUUCACACUGAAUAAGAUAAGAUGAGAUAGACUUUAUUGAUCUCACAAAGGAGAAAUUUACCGUUACAGGGCUCUUAGGAACAAAAGACAGAGGAGUGCAAAAGUCACAAAAGUGCAAGAACAAGAUAAUAAAUAUAGUAAGAAAUGGUAAAAUAGUAAAAUAUACACGUCUAAGGAUAGAAAACUUUUCUUAAAAUAAGAUAUUGCACAUAGUAACAACUCCACAGUAGUGUUCUACAGUCUGAUGGCAGUGGGGAUGAAGGACCUGUGGUAGCGCUCCUUCUUCCACUGAGGGUGUCUGAGUCUCGUGCUAAAGGAGCUGCUCAGCUCCACUACAGUCCGGUGCAGUGGGUGGGAGCUGUUGUCCAUGAUGGAUGAGAGCUUGGUCAACAUCCUCCUCUCACCCACAUCCAUCACAGAGUCCAGUGGGCAGCCCAGGACAGAGCUGUAAAGUCACUAUCAGGAUUUAAAGCUCCUGUUUUUCUAUAGUUGCCGUUCUUUCUCUUUGUAUUUUAUUCUUUUUUUUUUUUAUUUCUUCAUCGUAUUGUAUUUUUAUUGUAUAUAUUUUUCUAAGCACCAAAUGGAGCAGCGCUCCCAAUGUCAUUGUGUACCCGUUAUACUAUGGCAAUAAAAGCUUUGUAUUCUGUUCUGUUCUGUUCUAUUGUGUCAUUUCCAACAUUUUUUACUUUUUAGUGACAAUCUUUGUCUCGCUAAAAAGGAAGCGUGACGUUUUCUAUUUCUCUGCGGCUGAAUGGAGGCUUUGUGUGAUGUUAAAAUGCUUCUUUCUUCUGAUUUUCUCCUCAUUAAAUCGUCUUCUUCCAGGCUGGUGGCCACCAAAGCCGUCAAACUUUCUCGCAGAGAUUUCCUGACGGUCAACGUUGCGAGCACCUGCAACGACAUCAUGGACUACGUUCUGGAGAGGGUUCCUGCUCCUCAGCCCAGCCUGCCUCGGCCUCGCUUCUCCCUCUACCUGUCCUCCCAGCUGCAGUACGGAGUCGUCCUGGUCUUCCACCGCCAGUGUGACCUCCUGCUGAAGGACCUUCAGACCGUCGUGGGUCAGCUGGCCAGGCAGAAGAUUCCCAAGAAGCUGGAUCUGGACGACGGCAGGAAGCCUCUGCUUGUUCCUGACGCCUUGUUGCAGCUGCAGGAGAAUGAAGGAGCUCAAAGUCCACUGUUUGGAGUCAUGGAGCUGCAGGAGGCGCUGCCGAGUCUGGAGUCACUCAUACAGGCAGCUGAAGAGUUUCUGAGGGAAGCUUCUCUUGAACAUCCAGAAGAUUUAAGUCCAUCUGCUGCUGCUCAGGAUGGAAUCACGGCGUCUCCAGAAUCCAUCACUCUGAAGGAAUCUCCACCGCUUUUCAUCCCGCCUGCAGAGUUUGAUGGAGUGGACUUCAUGGGAGACGAGCAGAGGACCAUCGACCUCCUCCUGGAGCAGCACGAUCACUUCACAGAAGAAGCAGAGCUGGAGAGACCAAAGGAGCCGACGGGAUUCAUCUCAGAGGAACCUGGUCCAUCCACUGAGGAGUCUGCUCAGGAACCAGCUGAGGAACCAGAACCGUCCACUGAGGAACCUGCUGAGGAACCAGUCCUACCCACUGAGGAACCUGGACCUCCAUCAGACCAGCUGACUCCGGUCCCAGCGCCUGAUGUUCCAUCUCCUCCGUCUGCAGCAGAAGCUGGUCGAGGACGACCCGAAGCAGAAGAGGAGGUGAGGACCAGGAGGAGGAGGAGACAGCUGACCUUCUUUGAUCCAGAGACUCAGCUUCCUGAAGAGGAGCAGCAGCAGCAGAUCAGGAACCCUCUGGUCCACACCAGACCUCCAGUCCUGGUUCCUGGUCCAGACCAGAGGAUGAGAUCUGCAGCCGAGCUGCUGGGGAGCCCCUGUGGCUUCCUGCCUCCAGACAUCCAGUUGCUAUGGCAACAGGCUGCCGUCGUCACGCCCAUCCCGGGUUUGGACCUGCGGUUCGGAGAGCAAGGACCCGAGUCCAGCACCGAGUCUGAGAAGGAGCAACAGCCGGAGAUGAUGGAGAUCCCCAUAGAGGAGGAGCAACCACAGGAGAUGGAGAUCUCAGCUCCAGGUGCUCUGCCGCUGGACGCCUCUGACCAACGAGAAGCUUCCAGAGAGAUCUCACCCACCCAGACGUCUGAGAGGGAAGGGUCCAUCGUGUCCAGAUCUGUCUCCACUCUUCAGGACAUCCCAGAGGUGGUGGACGAGGUGGGAGAAGCAGCUGAGUCUCCAGGGUUUCCAGAGUUUCCUGAACACGUGGAGCCCGUCUUCUUCAGCUCCCUUCUGCCACCAAACGUCCGUCGCAAAACCGUCAGCAGAGCCUUCCACCGGCUGCUGGGGACUCUGUCUGCUGGGAGACUCCGUGCCGAGCAGAACGAGGCUUAUGGAGACAUCUUGAUUCUACCUGGAUCCCAACAGAACACCUGAGUCUGGAACAAGGACGUUAGAGGACAUUAGAGCCUCCAGAGUUCAGACCAGAUGUUUCCCAGAGACGACUGGACGGUGGGAGGCGUGACCGCUCUGACAGGUUCUGACAGAUCUGUGAGACGGGUCACCUGAUAAAAAGACACGUCAUUGACACGUCAUCAACACGUCAGAUGACGCUCUGAAGAAGACGGAGUGGAAACAUGUCAGCGAGGUAAACCAUCUUUUCUUGCAGAUUUGUCGUAUAAAAAGCAACGUUAUCCUGUUCUAAUAAACGACAAGAUGAACAUCAUUCAGUUAUUUUUGGCACUUUUUACCGCAUUCUGGGCAACUUUUAGAGACAUUUUAGAAAGUUUCAAGUCAUUCAACAGUUUUCAGCUUAUU